GUGAGCGUGUGAUGGCACUGUGGGGUUCAGUGCCUCCCUGGCCUUGUGUCCGCGCGUGUGUAUAGCGCUUAUCACGAAGCACUUCCUGAAGGGGGUGAAGGAACAACCACAACAAACGUGUGUGUACGUGUGUGUACGUGUGUGCGUGUGUGCGUUUAAUUGAAGAAAGGUCUAUCUAUCUCGUGAACUAGAAGUGGAGGAAAAUAGGGAGGGAGAACGAUAGGAGAAAGAAGGAAUAAGAGAGAAUAGAAGAAAGGAGGAGAGAGGAGAAUUGGGGAAGUGAAAAGAGGAGAUAAAUAAGAAAAAGGAGAAAGAGGAGAAAGAAGAGAAAAUAAUAAGAAGGGGGAAAAUGUGAAAUAAAACGAUAGCAAUCGUGAUACGCAAGUAAGGAAAGAAAAUAAUAAA
This is a non-coding RNA of Penaeus vannamei (Pacific white shrimp), 405 nucleotides long. Lineage: Eukaryota; Metazoa; Arthropoda; Malacostraca; Decapoda; Penaeidae. The record is from RefSeq and is a predicted model, not a curated record.